GGCUGGUUAGCUCAGUUGGUUAGAGCAUGGUGCUGAUAACAUCAAGGUCCGGGGUUCAGAUUCCCUUACUGGCCA
Non-coding RNA from Galeopterus variegatus (Sunda flying lemur), 75 nucleotides. Lineage: Eukaryota; Metazoa; Chordata; Mammalia; Dermoptera; Cynocephalidae. The record is from the annotation of a RefSeq genome assembly.